RNAcentral lists this ribosomal RNA (329 nucleotides) under uncultured eukaryote. Its description in RNAcentral is "partial 18S ribosomal RNA". It matches the Rfam family "Eukaryotic small subunit ribosomal RNA", at positions 1470 to 1796 of the family's 1831-position model. The record is from RNAcentral.
CCCUUAGAUGUUCUGGGCCGCACGCGCGCUACACUGAUGCAUUCAACGAGUCUAAAACCUGCUCUGAUAGGGGUGGGUAAUCUUUUGAAUGUGCAUCGUGAUUGGGAUAGAUGAUUGCAAUUUUUCAUCUUCAGCGAGGAAUGCCUAGUAAACGCAAGUCAUCAGCUUGCAUUGAUUACGUCCCUGCCCUUUGUACACACCGCCCGUCGCUCCUACCGAUUGAAUGAUCCGAUGAAUAUCAUGGAUUGAGGAUGCAAGCAGGUUCGCCUGUCUUCAUCUUCGAGAAGUGAAGUAAAUCUUAUCAUUUAGAGGAAGGAGAAGUCGUAACA